CAGUCGCCGCGGUAAUACGAGGGGGGCAAGCGUUGUUCGGAAUUAUUGGGCGUAAAGGGUGCGUAGGCGGUUUGGCAAGUCUUGUGUGAAAUCUUCGGGCUCAACCCGAAGCCUGCACGAGAAACUGCCGGGCUUGAGUAUUGGAGAGGUGAGUGGAAUUUCCGGUGUAGCGGUGAAAUGCGUAGAUAUCGGAAGGAACACCUGUGGCGAAAGCGGCUCACUGGACAAUAACUGACGCUGAUGCACGAAAGCUAGGGGAGCAAACAGGAUUAGAUACCCCUGUAGUCCCUGUCUCUUAUAC
Molecule: ribosomal RNA, 301 nt
Filed under: uncultured bacterium
Lineage: Bacteria
Description: partial 16S ribosomal RNA
Rfam family: Bacterial small subunit ribosomal RNA
Source: RNAcentral